GGUGAAUGUAUUAGUGAUCAUGAUGAUCAAGAUAUUGUACUGAGAGACUUAUGAAUGAUAGUCACAAAAUUUUUGAUGCGGAAAAUUAUUCUGGAAAUAUUAGUAUAGCCACUAGUAUACAAUCUAUAGUUACCUUAUCUCACUAAGUUUCAAGACAAGAAUAUCUUAGGUUUGUUUAAUUUCAUGUGAAAAGCUAAAUUCAUUAUUCAGGUUGUGAUGAACUGAAACUUUCUUGUUUAAAGCUCUUGUUAAGUUCACUUCAAAUAGCAUUGAAUUUUUUUGUGAACCUGCCUUCAUCAUGCUGGUUAAGGAAGUUAUGUUAUGGAACUAAGCUUUGUAGGACUAUGUGUGACAAGAUACCUUUGAAAGAUCUGCUUCACUACAUGGAACCGAGAGUUCAU
RNAcentral lists this long non-coding RNA (401 nucleotides) under Amphimedon queenslandica. RNAcentral describes it as "uncharacterized LOC109588608, transcript variant X2". Lineage: Eukaryota; Metazoa; Porifera; Demospongiae; Haplosclerida; Niphatidae. The record is from RNAcentral.